RNAcentral lists this long non-coding RNA (674 nucleotides) under Ananas comosus (pineapple). RNAcentral's name for it is "long non-coding RNA (ACOM_LNC013213)". The record is from RNAcentral. Lineage: Eukaryota; Viridiplantae; Streptophyta; Magnoliopsida; Poales; Bromeliaceae.
AUCAUCUUUUAGGGUCUGUUUGGUUCGAGUUAUGUAAUAUUACAAACUAUUUUGAUAUAUCCAGGCAUUUUAGAUUUUGGCGUGAGAUUACUACUAAUGCUGUAUUAGAGCGUUUGGUUUAAUACAGUAAUAUAAUACUAGAUUACAGUAUUUAUAGCAUUAAUAUGUUUGGUUCAGUUUAUAAAAUUUAGUAAUCCUGACAUAAAAAUAUAGUUUUUUUCAAAAUUGUCCUUGUUGUGGUCAUUUGAAUAUUAUUUUUUACGGAAAUGACGAAUAAAGGGAAGGAGAUCGUGAUGAUUACUUGGGAGGACGACGCAAUAGAAGAUGAUAGGUAUUCAUGAGAGAGAGAGAGAGAGAGAGAGAGAGAGAGAGAGGGCCCGGGGAAGGCGAGAGAGAGAUGAAAAUAAUACUGUUAAUUAGAUUUUGGAUUGUUGGAGGGUAAAAUUGUCAUUUUACAUAAUAUGUAGUAUUAACGGGUUUCAGUAAUGCAAGAUACACGACCCCCCUCCCGUUAAUAUUUUCGAUGUAAUUCUACUCGAUUUGUAAUGCUACAUUAACGGCUAGAUUACAUAGCGGAUUAACCAAAUACAGUUAUCUUGACAGGAUUGCCUGUAAUCCUGCCAGGAUAACUCGAACCAAACGCACCCUUAUAUUUUUGUGUCAAAUUAUGCAUU